GGGAGUGUUCCCGAGUGGCCAAAGGGGGCAGACUGUAAAUCUGUUGCGAAAGCUUCGAUGGUUCAAAUCCGUCCACUCCCA
Molecule: transfer RNA, 81 nt
Filed under: Oscillospiraceae bacterium
Lineage: Bacteria; Bacillati; Bacillota; Clostridia; Eubacteriales; Oscillospiraceae
Description: tRNA-Tyr
Rfam family: tRNA
About the family: Transfer RNA (tRNA) molecules are approximately 80 nucleotides in length.
Source: RNAcentral